RNAcentral lists this ribosomal RNA (492 nucleotides) under uncultured bacterium. RNAcentral describes it as "partial 16S ribosomal RNA". It matches the Rfam family "Bacterial small subunit ribosomal RNA", at positions 29 to 507 of the family's 1533-position model. The record is from RNAcentral.
AGUGAACGCUGGCGGUAGGCCUAACACAUGCAAGUCGAACGGCAGCACAGUAAGAGCUUGCUCUUACGGGUGGCGAGUGGCGGACGGGUGAGGAAUACAUCGGAAUCUACUUUUUCGUGGGGGAUAACGUAGGGAAACUUACGCUAAUACCGCAUACGACCUACGGGUGAAAGCAGGGGAUCUUCGGACCUUGCGCGAUUGAAUUAGCCGAUGUCGGAUUAGCUAGUUGGCGGGGUAAAGGCCCACCAAGGCGACGAUCCGUAGCUGGUCUGAGAGGAUGAUCAGCCACACUGGAACUGAGACACGGUCCAGACUCCUACGGGAGGCAGCAGUGGGGAAUAUUGGACAAUGGGCGCAAACCUGAUCCAGCCAUACCGCGUGGGUGAAGAAGGCCUUCGGGUUGUAAAGCCCUUUUGUUGGGAAAGAAAAGCAGCAGGUUAAUACCCCGCUGUUCUGACGGUACCCAAAGAAUAAGCACCGGCUAACUUCGUG